Molecule: non-coding RNA, 133 nt
Organism: Podarcis lilfordi (Lilford's wall lizard)
Lineage: Eukaryota; Metazoa; Chordata; Lepidosauria; Squamata; Lacertidae
Source: the annotation of a GenBank genome assembly
ACCUUAGAAAUCAACUAAGUUUGUUCUGGGUAUAAGCUUUUGUGUGCAUGUACACUUCUUCAGAUACAUGCAUUCUUCAGAUGCAUGCACACGAAAGCUUAUACCCAGAACAAACUUAGUUGGUCUCUAAGGU